CCUCGCUGGUGCGGCACCCUCCGCCCUGGAGACACCCUGGGCUGCCGUGUGACACCCGGCGCUGUCCCGCUGCUGCGGUGCCCCGAUAACACCGAGCGAACGCCGGGAGGAGCCGGGCCGGUUCAGCCCCUGCGAUGCGCAGGCGCAAGUACCAAGUUCAACCAACGGUGAUGAGAGGAAGACCCGCCGCCUUCACCCCAAGACCACCUCAAAAGAGGAACCCACCCCCUAGCAACAGGACGGAGUCUGCGUAGAAAGGACUAAUGACGUCUAAAACGAGGAGGAGCCUACUGAAAAAGAGGAAAUGGCAAAAUAUACACGAGGCGGACUCUAAACUCGCCGACCGUCGGUGGAGCGGAGACUCCCCGGCCGCCCAGCGCUGCUUUGCUCAUUUGUCAUAAAUAAGUUUUAUCUAAAACGUGAAAGAUUUUUGGUCUCUUUGACUAUAACGAUUUUGGAUCCAGACCCUCUGUGCUGCGGGACUCCAUCUCCAGACGGUCCUGGAGAGGGCCUCCUGAGGUACACAUUCUGGAUAUCCGACCGAGAUCUAAGGCGAAUGAGCAAAGGAAUACACUGCAGUUCCCCGUAAGAUCCGAACGACGACUCAGGAGUGAAUACAGCAAUCCGUACUGCCAAGAGAGGCUGGACUCAUGCAACCCGGGUCAAGGGACCAGUAGAACUGCCUCCCACAGAAUGGGCUGUAACAUCUGAACUGGGAGAUCUCCGAAUGAAGAUAAAGAGGACAAGGCCAGCGGAUCAAUCAUCCCAGAAGGGAAGUAAGAAAUAGUUUAUAUCAAUGGUUCCAAAUACCUCCUGGAAACACUUUACGAGAGGUACAUUUUGCACCUUGGAGUAGAGAAAGGAUACCUAAUCAAACAGGAGGGGCUGGACUAUACAAGUUGACAGGAACACCUCACGUCUUCCCUUUGUGUUGUGAAAUAGAAACAGAAGUAUCUGAGACCCCCAGAAUAGAAAACAUCUGGGGGAUACCUUGCAUAAAACACCCUACUUCUGGACAUUUAGGUUGGGUUGUUUGCAAAUUUAUUACAGUGUAAUAAAGAGUGGUCCUGUGUUUCAGUUAAAAGACAACCUUACUGUGUGCAAUGCCGAGAUAACCCGAUACCUGCUAGGGGACAACGGGCUGAAACAGAAAUCUGUAAAUUGUUUUGUCAAUACCACCGGGACAAACUGGAAACUAAAUUACAAUUUGCAAAAAUGAGUAAAGUUCCAGUGAUCAUAAGUUUAAUAUAUAUAACACACGCAAUUGGAAGCGAAACACAGCAGCCUUUUGAAUGGACCCUUGCCAGGUGGAGCGAUCAAAAAGUAAUUGGGCGAAAUCUUACAGCAGGACCUCCUAGCUUCUCUGUUACACUGUGCCAAAUGGUACCUCUACAACGUUGCUUAAACCAGAAGCCUUAUUAUUUGUGUCCUGCAUCUAAUCCAGGAAAGGGGUAUUGUAACUCUCGUAAUCAAUAUUAUUGUGCAUAUUGGAAGUGUGUCACUAUUGCUUCUGCCUGGGUCCCUACUGUCCGAGAUAAAUACCUAACAACGACAUGGGGACCACCAGGCUGCAAGCAUCCACAAGUAGAUUUGUCUGGGGGAUCCAUAGGAUAUAGUAAUUGUACUCAUAUAAUCCUCCAGGUAAUGCAACCAGAAGACCCAGGAUGGCUGAUAGGAAAGACUUGGGGAGUCAGAUACUGGGAACCUGGAACAGAUAGAGGGGGUUUAAUUUUGAUUAGAAAAGGAAAACCUCAAUAAGAACCCUAGCAGGUGGGACCAAAUAAUAUUUACAAAUAUUUAACGAAAGCAAGGAAUUUUGUAUACAGAUAACGGUAAUACCCCGAAUCCUUUACCAUUCAAAAGAAUCGGUCCUUGAACAUUGGGAUGGUAAUAAACACAGAAUACAAAAAUGAGAACCACUUACUGCCAUAACUAUUGCCAUGCUCCUUGGUCUGGGAACAGCAGGGGCAGCAACUGGAAUUACAUCCCUCGUCCAACAAAAUAAAGGCAAAGACAGGUAAUUUGCUGAUCAAAUAAAAUUUGUAAUGUUGUAGUCCACGAUUCACUUAGAUUGCAAAAUGUCAAACUGCAAUAUUAUGUUACCAUGGCAAGCUAUAUAUCCUGUUAUGUUAGCUAUAAACCUUAAAUGUACUUAUAAGGAGGAAAUGCAUAGAGUUACAGAAGAAGGACAAAAGGUACAGGCGCAAGUACCAAGUUCAACCAACGGUAAUGAGAAGAAGACCUGCCGCCUUCAUCCCAAGACCACCUCAAAAGAAGAACCCACCCCCUAGCAACAGGACGGAGUCUGCGUAGAAAGGACUAAUGACGUCUAAAACAAGGAGGAGCCUUCUGAAAAGGAGGAAAUGGCAAAAUAUAUAUGAGGCGGACUCUAACUCUCUAAACUCGCGGACCGUUGGUGGAGCGGAGACUCCCCGGCCGGCCAGCGCUGCUUUGCUCAUUUGUCAUAAAUAAAUUUUAUCUAAAAUGUGAAA
This is a long non-coding RNA of Manacus vitellinus (golden-collared manakin), 2492 nucleotides long. RefSeq lists it as uncharacterized. The transcript is spliced from 2 exons. NCBI's taxonomy places the organism in Eukaryota, Metazoa, Chordata, Aves, Passeriformes, Pipridae. The record is from RefSeq and is a predicted model, not a curated record.